This 1442-nucleotide ribosomal RNA is filed under the name uncultured organism. Its description in RNAcentral is "16S ribosomal RNA". It matches the Rfam family "Bacterial small subunit ribosomal RNA". The record is from RNAcentral.
GCGUGCUUAACACAUGCAAGUCGAACGGAAAGGCCCUGCUUUUGUGGGGUGCUCGAGUGGCGAACGGGUGAGUAACACGUGAGUAACCUGCCCUUGACUUUGGGAUAACUUCAGGAAACUGGGGCUAAUACCGGAUAGGAGCUCCUGCUGCAUGGUGGGGGUUGGAAAGUUUCGGCGGUUGGGGAUGGACUCGCGGCUUAUCAGCUUGUUGGUGGGGUAGUGGCUUACCAAGGCUUUGACGGGUAGCCGGCCUGAGAGGGUGACCGGCCACAUUGGGACUGAGAUACGGCCCAGACUCCUACGGGAGGCAGCAGUGGGGAAUAUUGCACAAUGGGCGGAAGCCUGAUGCAGCAACGCCGCGUGCGGGAUGACGGCCUUCGGGUUGUAAACCGCUUUCGCCUGUGACGAAGCGUGAGUGACGGUAAUGGGUAAAGAAGCACCGGCUAACUACGUGCCAGCAGCCGCGGUGAUACGUAGGGUGCGAGCGUUGUCCGGAUUUAUUGGGCGUAAAGGGCUCGUAGGUGGUUGAUCGCGUCGGAAGUGUAAUCUUGGGGCUUAACCCUGAGCGUGCUUUCGAUACGGGUUGACUUGAGGAAGGUAGGGGAGAAUGGAAUUCNNUGGUGGAGCGGUGGAAUGCGCAGAUAUCAGGAGGAACACCAGUGGCGAAGGCGGUUCUCUGGGCCUUUCCUGACGCUGAGGAGCGAAAGCGUGGGGAGCGAACGGGCUUAGAUACCCUGGUAGUCCACGCUGUAAACGGUGGGUACUAGGUGUGGGGUCCAUUCCACGGGUUCCGUGCCGUAGCUAACGCUUUAAGUACCCCGCCUGGGGAGUACGGCCGCAAGGCUAAAACUCAAAGGAAUUGACGGGGCCCCGCACAAGCGGCGGAGCAUGCGGAUUAAUUCGAUGCAACGCGUAGAACCUUACCUGGGUUUGACAUGGAUCGGGAGUGCUCAGAGAUGGGUGUGCCUCUUUUGGGGUCGGUUCACAGGUGGUGCAUGGCUGUCGUCAGCUCGUGUCGUGAGAUGUUGGGUUAAGUCCCGCAACGAGCGCAACCCUUGUUCACUGUUGCCAGCACGUUAUGGUGGGGACUCAGUGGAGACCGCCGGGGUCAACUCGGAGGAAGGUGGGGAUGACGUCAAGUCAUCAUGCCCCUUAUGUCCAGGGCUUCACGCAUGCUACAAUGGCUGGUACAGAGAGUGGCGAGCCUGUGAGGGUGAGCGAAUCUCGGAAAGCCGGUCUCAGUUCGGAUUGGGGUCUGCAACUCGACCUCAUGAAGUCGGAGUCGCUAGUAAUCGCAGAUCAGCAACGCUGCGGUGAAUACGUUCCCGGGGCUUGUACACACCGCCCGUCAAGUCAUGAAAGUUGGUAACACCCGAAGCCGGUGGCCUAACCGUUGUGGGGGAGCCGUCGAAGGUGGGACUGGUGAUUAGGACUAAGUCGUA